RNAcentral lists this ribosomal RNA (425 nucleotides) under uncultured bacterium. RNAcentral's name for it is "partial 16S ribosomal RNA". It matches the Rfam family "Bacterial small subunit ribosomal RNA", at positions 354 to 796 of the family's 1533-position model. The record is from RNAcentral.
GUUAGGAAUAUUGGACAAUGGGCGAAAGCCUGAUCCAGCCAUGCCGCGUGAACGAUGAAGGCCUUCGGGUUGUAAAGUUCUUUAGCCGAUGAUUAUAAUGACUGUAGUCGGAAAAUAAGCCCCGGCUAACUUCGUGCCAGCAGCCGCGGUAAUACGACGGGGGCGAGCGUUAUUCGGAAUCACUGGGCGUAAAGCGUGCGUAGGCGGUUUUGUAAGUUAGGAGUGAAAGCCCAGGGCUCAAACUUGGAAUUGCUCUUAAAACUGCAAGGCUCGAAUAUCGGAGAGGAUAGCGGAAUUUCCAGUGUAGCAGUGAAAUGCGUAGAUAUUGGAAGGAACACCAGUGGCGUAAGCGGCUAUCUGGACGAGUAUUGACGCUGAGGCACGAAAGCGUGGGGAUCAAACAGGAUUAGAAACCCUUGUAGUCC